CGGGCUCAGGCUAUACUCCACGGCUCAGUAAACCCUGGGUAUAACCCAAGCCCGAAUGU
MicroRNA precursor from Cricetulus griseus (Chinese hamster), 59 nucleotides. The record is from Ensembl. Lineage: Eukaryota; Metazoa; Chordata; Mammalia; Rodentia; Cricetidae.